GGGUGUGUUUUAUUAUGCUCUGCAAAGGCAUCGGAGAUCUUUGUUGAUCCACAUCUUG
Molecule: transfer RNA, 58 nt
Filed under: Metorchis bilis
Lineage: Eukaryota; Metazoa; Platyhelminthes; Trematoda; Opisthorchiida; Opisthorchiidae
Description: tRNA-Cys
Source: RNAcentral